GACGAACGCUGGCGGCGUGCCUAAUACAUGCAAGUUGAGCGCUGAAGGUUGGUACUUGUACCGACUGGAUGAGCAGCGCACGGGUGAGUAACGCGUGGGGAAUCUGCCUUUGAGCGGGGGACAACAUUUGGAAACGAAUGCUAAUACCGCAUAAAAACUUUAAACACAAGUUUUAAGUUUGAAAGAUGCAAUUGCAUCACUCAAAGAUGAUCCCGCGUUGUAUUAGCUAGUUGGUGAGGUAAAGGCUCACCAAGGCGAUGCUACAUAGCCGACCUGAGAGGGUGAGCGGCCACAUUGGGACGGAGACACGGCCCAAACGCCCACGGGAGGCAGCAGUAGGGAAUCGUCGGCAAUGGACGAAAGUCUGACCGAGCAACGCCGCGUGAGUGAAGAAGGUUUUCGGAUCGGAAAACUCUGUUGGUAGAGAAGAACGUUGGUGAGAGUGGAAAGCUCAUCAAGUGACGGUAACUACCCAGAAAGGGACGGCUAACUACGUG
RNAcentral lists this ribosomal RNA (497 nucleotides) under uncultured bacterium. RNAcentral's name for it is "partial 16S ribosomal RNA". It matches the Rfam family "Bacterial small subunit ribosomal RNA", at positions 28 to 507 of the family's 1533-position model. The record is from RNAcentral.